This 94-nucleotide ribosomal RNA is filed under the name Staphylococcus epidermidis. The record is from RNAcentral. RNAcentral also lists the same sequence under 1 other name. Lineage: Bacteria; Bacillati; Bacillota; Bacilli; Caryophanales; Staphylococcaceae.
GUCACACCUGUUCCCAUGCCGAACACAGAAGUUAAGCUCCUUAGCGCCGAUGGUAGUCGGACUGACGUUCCGCUAGAGUAGGACGUUGCCAGGC